This 498-nucleotide ribosomal RNA is filed under the name uncultured bacterium. RNAcentral's name for it is "partial 16S ribosomal RNA". It matches the Rfam family "Bacterial small subunit ribosomal RNA", at positions 899 to 1397 of the family's 1533-position model. The record is from RNAcentral.
ACUCAAAUGAAUUGACGGGGGCCCGCACAAGCGGUGGAGCAUGUGGUUUAAUUCGAUGCAACGCGAAGAACCUUACCUGGGCUAGACAACACAGGACAGUCGUAGAAAUACGAUCUCUCCUUCGGGAGUCUGUGGUUUAGGUGCUGCAUGGCUGUCGUCAGCUCGUAUCGUGAGAUGUCGGGUUAAGUCCCUUAACGAGCGCAACCCUUGUCUUUAGUUGCCAUCAUUCAGUUGGGCACUCUAAAGAGACCGCCGGUGUUAAACCGGAGGAAGGUGGGGAUGACGUCAAGUCCUCAUGGCCCUUAUGUCCAGGGCUACACACGUGCUACAAUGGCAGGUACAAAGGGCUGCUAACCAGCAAUGGGGAGCUAAUCUCAGAAAGCCUGUCUCAGUUCGGAUUGAAGUCUGCAACUCGACUUCAUGAAGCUGGAAUCGCUAGUAAUCGCAGAUCAGCACGCUGCGGUGAAUACGUUCCCGGGCCUUGCACACACCGCCCGU